GUGAACUGCGUGCCCGAGGCGGAGGGAAGAAGGGGGGGUCGAAGGUUAAGCGGAAGGAAUGGGCGGAAAGCGCAAGGAGGCGGUAAAGUAAUGCAGAUGUGAAAGCCCCGAGCUUAACUGGGGAAUUGCAUCUGAAACUGGUUGGAUAGAGUCUUGUAGAGGGGGGUAGAAUUCCAUGUGUAACGGUGAAAUGCGUAGAGAUGUGGAGGAAUACCGGUGGCGAAGGCGGCCCCCUGGACAAAGACUGACGCUCAGGUGCGAAAGCGUGGGGAGCAAACAGGAUUAGAUACCCGGGUAGUC
This 300-nucleotide ribosomal RNA is filed under the name uncultured Thermoplasma sp. RNAcentral's name for it is "bacterial SSU rRNA". The stretch from base 58 to 300 matches the Rfam family "Bacterial small subunit ribosomal RNA", at positions 553 to 795 of the family's 1533-position model. The record is from RNAcentral. Lineage: Archaea; Methanobacteriati; Thermoplasmatota; Thermoplasmata; Thermoplasmatales; Thermoplasmataceae.